GACGAACGCUGGCGGCGUGCUUAACACAUGCAAGUCGAACGGAAAGGCCCUGCUUUUGUGGGGUGCUCGAGUGGCGAACGGGUGAGUAACACGUGAGUAACCUGCCCUUGACUUUGGGAUAACUUCAGGAAACUGGGGCUAAUACCGGAUAGGAGCUCCUGCUGCAUGGUGGGGGUUGGAAAGUUUCGGCGGUUGGGGAUGGACUCGCGGCUUAUCAGCUUGUUGGUGGGGUAGUGGCUUACCAAGGCUUUGACGGGUAGCCGGCCUGAGAGGGUGACCGGCCACAUUAGGACUGAGAUACGGCCCAGACUCCUACGGGAGGCAGCAGUGGGGAAUAUUGCACAAUGGGCGGGAGCCUGAUGCAGCAACGCCGCGUGCGGGAUGACGGCCUUCGGGUUGUAAACCGCUUUCGCCGGUGACGAAGCGUGAGUGACGGUAAUGGGUAAAGAAGCACCGGCUAACUACGUG
This 468-nucleotide ribosomal RNA is filed under the name uncultured bacterium. RNAcentral's name for it is "partial 16S ribosomal RNA". It matches the Rfam family "Bacterial small subunit ribosomal RNA", at positions 28 to 507 of the family's 1533-position model. The record is from RNAcentral.